RNAcentral lists this ribosomal RNA (429 nucleotides) under Actinomycetes bacterium. RNAcentral describes it as "Actinobacteria bacterium partial 16S ribosomal RNA". It matches the Rfam family "Bacterial small subunit ribosomal RNA", at positions 355 to 776 of the family's 1533-position model. Lineage: Bacteria; Bacillati; Actinomycetota; Actinomycetes. The record is from RNAcentral.
UAGGGAAUCUUCCGCAAUGGGCGAAAGCCUGACGGAGCAACGCCGCGUGAGUGAUGAAGGUCUUCGGAUCGUAAAACUCUGUUAUUAGGGAAGAACAAAUGUGUAAGUAACUAUGCACGUCUUGACGGUACCUAAUCAGAAAGCCACGGCUAACUACGUGCCAGUAGCCGCGGUAAUACGUAGGUGGCAAGCGUUAUCCGGAAUUAUUGGGCGUAAAGCGCGCGUAGGCGGUUUUUUAAGUCUGAUGUGAAAGCCCACGGCUCAACCGUGGAGGGUCAUUGGAAACUGGAAAACUUGAGUGCAGAAGAGGAAAGUGGAAUUCCAUGUGUAGCGGUGAAAUGCGCAGAGAUAUGGAGGAACACCAGUGGCGAAGGCGACUUUCUGGUCUGUAACUGACGCUGAUGUGCGAAAGCGUGGGGAUCAAACAGG